RNAcentral lists this ribosomal RNA (1478 nucleotides) under Cyanobium sp. LB03. RNAcentral's name for it is "16S ribosomal RNA". It matches the Rfam family "Bacterial small subunit ribosomal RNA". The record is from RNAcentral. Lineage: Bacteria; Bacillati; Cyanobacteriota; Cyanophyceae; Synechococcales; Prochlorococcaceae.
GGAGAGUUUGAUCCUGGCUCAGGAUGAACGCUGGCGGCGUGCUUAACACAUGCAAGUCGAACGAACCUUCGGGUUAGUGGCGGACGGGUGAGUAACGCGUGAGAAUCUGCCCUCAGGAGGGGGAUAACGGCUGGAAACGGCCGCUAAUACCCCAUAUGCCGAGAGGUGAAAUGAAUUUCGCCUGAGGAUGAGCUCGCGUCUGAUUAGCUAGUUGGUAGGGUAAAGGCCUACCAAGGCUUCGAUCAGUAGCUGGUCUGAGAGGAUGAUCACCCACACUGGGACUGAGACACGGCCCAGACUCCUACGGGAGGCAGCAGUGGGGAAUUUUCCGCAAUGGGCGAAAGCCUGACGGAGCAACGCCGCGUGAGGGAUGAAGGCCUCUGGGCUGUAAACCUCUUUUAUCAAGGAAGAAGAUCUGACGGUACUUGAUGAAUAAGCCACGGCUAAUUCCGUGCCAGCAGCCGCGGUAAUACGGGAGUGGCAAGCGUUAUCCGGAAUUAUUGGGCGUAAAGCGUCCGCAGGCGGUCUUACAAGUCUGUCGUUAAAGCGUGGAGCUUAACUCCAUUUCAGCGAUGGAAACUGUAAGACUAGAGUGUGGUAGGGGCAGAGGGAAUUCCCGGUGUAGCGGUGAAAUGCGUAGAUAUCGGGAAGAACACCAGUGGCGAAGGCGCUCUGCUGGGCCAUAACUGACGCUCAUGGACGAAAGCCAGGGGAGCGAAAGGGAUUAGAUACCCCUGUAGUCCUGGCCGUAAACGAUGAACACUAGGUGUCGGGGGAAUCGACCCCCUCGGUGUCGUAGCCAACGCGUUAAGUGUUCCGCCUGGGGAGUACGCACGCAAGUGUGAAACUCAAAGGAAUUGACGGGGGCCCGCACAAGCGGUGGAGUAUGUGGUUUAAUUCGAUGCAACGCGAAGAACCUUACCAGGGUUUGACAUCCUGCGAAUCCCUUGGAAACGAGGGAGUGCCUUCGGGAACGCAGUGACAGGUGGUGCAUGGCUGUCGUCAGCUCGUGUCGUGAGAUGUUGGGUUAAGUCCCGCAACGAGCGCAACCCACGUCUUUAGUUGCCAGCAUUUAGUUGGGCACUCUAGAGAGACUGCCGGUGAUAAACCGGAGGAAGGUGUGGAUGACGUCAAGUCAUCAUGCCCCUUACAUCCUGGGCUACACACGUACUACAAUGCUACGGACAAAGGGCAGCAAACUCGCGAGAGCUAGCAAAUCCCAUAAACCGUGGCUCAGUUCAGAUCGUAGGCUGCAACUCGCCUACGUGAAGGAGGAAUCGCUAGUAAUCGCAGGUCAGCAUACUGCGGUGAAUACGUUCCCGGGCCUUGUACACACCGCCCGUCACACCAUGGAAGUUGGCCACGCCCGAAGUCGUUACUCCAACCCUUGUGGAGGAGGAUGCCGAAGGUGGGGCUGAUGACUGGGGUGAAGUCGUAACAAGGUAGCCGUACCGGAAGGUGCGGCUGGAUCACCUCCU